AAAUGUGUGGACUUCUGCCACAAGAAAUCCUGAUUCGAAAUUACAGGGGAGGGAUGAAAUGGGUGAAUGGUGAAAUUACCUACGUUUUAGGUCCGGUUAUGUACCUGGUGUCGGUAAAUGGAAAGUGC
Long non-coding RNA from Thalassophryne amazonica, 128 nucleotides. RefSeq lists it as uncharacterized. NCBI's taxonomy places the organism in Eukaryota, Metazoa, Chordata, Actinopteri, Batrachoidiformes, Batrachoididae. The record is from RefSeq and is a predicted model, not a curated record. The transcript has 3 exons.